ACGGAGGAUGCGAGCGUUAUCCGGAUUUAUUGGGUUUAAAGGGAGCGCAAGCUGCGAGGCAAGUCAGCGGUCAAAUGUCGGGGCUCAACCCCGGCCUGCCGUUGAAACUGUUUUGCUAGAGUUCGAGUGAGGUAUGCGGAAUGCGUUGUGUAGCGGUGAAAUGCAUAGAUAUGACGCAGAACUCCGAUUGCGAAGGCAGCAUACCAACUCGCGACUGACGCUGAGGCUCGAAAGCGUGGGUAUCGAACAGGAUUAGAUACCCUGGUAGUCCACGCAGUAAACGAUGAAUACUAACUGUUCGGAGGGCGACCUCUGAGUGGUAAAGCGAAAGCGUUAAGUAUUCCACCUGGGGAGUACGCCGGCACGGUGAAACUCAGAGGAAUUGACGGGGGCCCG
Molecule: ribosomal RNA, 396 nt
Filed under: uncultured bacterium
Lineage: Bacteria
Description: bacterial SSU rRNA
Rfam family: Bacterial small subunit ribosomal RNA
Source: RNAcentral